Molecule: ribosomal RNA, 493 nt
Filed under: uncultured Acidobacteriota bacterium
Lineage: Bacteria; Pseudomonadati; Acidobacteriota
Description: bacterial SSU rRNA
Rfam family: Bacterial small subunit ribosomal RNA
Source: RNAcentral
GAGUUUGAUCAUGGCCAGGAUCAACGCUGGCGGCGUGCCUAAUGCAUGCAAGUCGAGCGGGGUGGUUUUCGGACCACUUACGCGGCGGACGGGUGCGGAACACGUGGGCAACCUGCCCUGAGGUGGGGGAUAGCCGGUGGAAACACCGGGUAAUUCCGCAUGAGGUCACUGGCCGGAGGGCUAGUGAGGAAAGGCUCGUAAGAGUCGCCUUGGGAGGGGCCUGCGGCCGAUUAGCUAGACGGUGGGGUAACGGCCUACCGUGGCGAUGAUCGGUAGCUGGUCUGAGAGGACGGCCAGCCACACGGGGACUGAGACACGGCCCCGACUCCUACGGGAGGCAGCAGCAAGGAAUCUUCCGCAAUGGGCGAAAGCCUGACGGAGCAACGCCGCGUGUGGGAUGACGCCUUUCGGGGUGUAAACCACUUUUCUCAGGGAAGAAGCACUGACGGUACCUGAGGAAGAAGGACCGGCUAACUACGUGCCAGCAGCGCGG